GUUCCUGUAGCGCAAUGAAUAGCGCGUCGGACAUCCAAUCCGAAGGUUGUGGGUUCGAAUCCCAUCUGGGAUG
Trichonephila inaurata madagascariensis is the source of this 73-nucleotide non-coding RNA. Lineage: Eukaryota; Metazoa; Arthropoda; Arachnida; Araneae; Nephilidae. The record is from the annotation of a GenBank genome assembly.